UGAGGUAGUUAAGAAAGACCGA
RNAcentral lists this microRNA (22 nucleotides) under Pristionchus pacificus. Its description in RNAcentral is "ppc-miR-84c-5p". Its record names the gene ppc-miR-84c-5p. Lineage: Eukaryota; Metazoa; Nematoda; Chromadorea; Rhabditida; Neodiplogasteridae. The record is from miRBase by way of RNAcentral.